GGAGGGACCCGCGCGCGCUCCGCCCAGCCGAGGCCGCCCACGCCCUCCUCGCUGCCCGCGCCGGGUCCCUAGCGUGCCCUGCGGCCGCCGCGAUGAAGAUGUGGAGCUCGGAGCACGUGUUCGGCCACCCGUGGGACACGGUGAUCAAGGCCGCCAUGAGGAAGUACCCGAAUCCGAUGAACCCCUGUGUGGUGGGCGUGGACGUGCUGGAUCGCAGCGUGGAUGGCCGUGGGCGGUUGCACAGCCUGCGCCUGCUCAGUACGGAGUGGGGCCUGCCCAGCCUAGUGCGAGCGAUCUUGGGAACCAGUAGGACUUUGACAUACAUCAAAGAGCAUUCUGUGGUGGAUCCAGUGGCAAAGAAAAUGGAACUUUGUUCCACCAAUAUCACGCUCACAAACCUGGUGUCUGUUAAUGAGAGGCUGGUGUAUACGCCCCAUCCGGAGAACCCCGACAUGACUGUGCUCACUCAGGAAGCCACCAUCACCGUGAAGGGUAUUAGUUUUGGCAGCUAUCUGGAGAGCUUGAUGGCCAGUACGAUAUCAUCCAAUGCCAAGAAGGGGUGGGCUGCUAUUGAGUGGAUAAUUGAGAACUCUCAGAGUGCUGUGAGCUAACGGCAGCUGCAUCAGCCCGUGCGGUACACUGUGGUAACUACGGGGCAGGACGGUAGCAGGAUCUGUGUCGCUGGCGUGGGCUGUGGGCCGGGCGGAUGUGUGGGAGCUGCAUGUCGGCCUGCAGCCCCGGCUCCUUGGUGUCUGUCAGAUCUUUCACACCAACAAUCCAAGAAGAAAGGGAGAGGACGACGGAGGAAGCUCAGAGGGAGAGAAGAAAGCAGGCCAGCACAGCGAGUGGGCUGUCUUCCAGCAUCACCUAUCCUGUGGCCAGGGCCCUCACUGAGGCCCACACAGUGACAUUGCAGGGCAGGAGCCUAGCAGGGCGUAGGCGGCCCCCCCAGGCUCCAGGGCAUUCCACGGCAGGGCCAGGACAGGUACCACCGCCAGAGGAGGGCACUGCCCGCCCACUGAGCCUGUGCAGUGACCUGGCCCCUGCUCUGCCACCUGGACAGAUUGUUCCUGAACCUUUGUUGGCUCUGCCAAGCUCUUGGGAUUUUGCUGAAGGACGGCUCUGCCCCUUGGCCAGCCUUGUGUGCCCUGGUGCCCGACUCACCCCCUGCCUCACCCACGUGCUUCCUCCCUC
RNA transcript from Ochotona princeps (American pika), 1194 nucleotides. It is a transcript of the gene named PRELI domain containing 3A, with no coding region annotated. The transcript has 7 exons. Lineage: Eukaryota; Metazoa; Chordata; Mammalia; Lagomorpha; Ochotonidae. The record is from RefSeq and is a predicted model, not a curated record.